AGUCGCACCCCAACUAGAAUCUCUUAACCCUAAACCCUAAAUUAUCUUGGGCGAGAGUAGUACUAGGAUGGGUGACCCCUUGGGAAGUCCUCGCGUUGCAACCC
This 104-nucleotide ribosomal RNA is filed under the name Helianthus annuus (common sunflower). The record is from RNAcentral. Lineage: Eukaryota; Viridiplantae; Streptophyta; Magnoliopsida; Asterales; Asteraceae.